ACGCUCGACACCUACGGGGAGGCAGCAGUGGGGAAUAUUGCACAAUGGGGGAAACCCGUGAUGCAGCGACGCCGCGUGAGCGAAGAAGUAUUUCGGUAUGUAAAGCUCUAUACAGCAGGGAAGAAAAUGACGGUACCUGACUAAGAACGCCCCGGCUAACUACGUGCUAGCAGCCGCGGUAAUCUGGAGGCGGGCGUGGCAAGGC
This 205-nucleotide ribosomal RNA is filed under the name uncultured bacterium. Its description in RNAcentral is "partial 16S ribosomal RNA". It matches the Rfam family "Bacterial small subunit ribosomal RNA", at positions 328 to 539 of the family's 1533-position model. The record is from RNAcentral.